RNAcentral lists this ribosomal RNA (400 nucleotides) under phytoplankton environmental sample. Its description in RNAcentral is "partial small subunit ribosomal RNA". It matches the Rfam family "Eukaryotic small subunit ribosomal RNA", at positions 587 to 985 of the family's 1831-position model. The record is from RNAcentral.
AGCUCCAAUAGCGUAUAUUAAAGUUGUUGCAGUUAAAAAGCUCGUAGUUGGAUUCCUGGUUAGAGCGGCCGGUCUGGUCCGAAUGGGCUAGUACUUUGAGCUGUCUUUGACCUUCCUUUGGGAGAAACUGUGUUGUUAUUAAUUUAGCAGUGCAGGGGACCCCAAUCGUUUACUGUGAAAAAAUUAGAGUGUUUAAAGCAGGCAUUUGCUGUGAAUACAUUAGCAUGGAAUAAUAAGAUAGGACUUUGGUGCUAUUUUGUUGGUUUGCACACCAAGGUAAUGAUUAACAGGGACAGUUGGGGGUAUUCGUAUUUAAUUGUCAGAGGUGAAAUUCUUGGAUUUAUGAAAGACGAACUACUGCGAAAGCAUUUACCAAGGAUGUUUUCAUUAAUCAAGAACG